This 253-nucleotide ribosomal RNA is filed under the name uncultured bacterium. Its description in RNAcentral is "partial 16S ribosomal RNA". It matches the Rfam family "Bacterial small subunit ribosomal RNA", at positions 524 to 776 of the family's 1533-position model. The record is from RNAcentral.
UACGGAGGGGGCUAGCGUUGUUCGGAAUUACUGGGCGUAAAGCGCACGUAGGCGGCUUUGUAAGUUAGAGGUGAAAGCCCGGAGCUUAACUCCGGAACUGCCUUUAAGACUGCAUCGCUUGAAUCAUGGAGAGGUUAGUGGAAUUCCGAGUGUAGAGGUGAAAUUCGUAGAUAUUCGGAAGAACACCAGUGGCGAAGGCGACUAACUGGACAUGUAUUGACGCUGAGGUGCGAAAGCGUGGGGAGCAAACAGG